RNAcentral lists this ribosomal RNA (255 nucleotides) under Pseudomonas sp. Pdm06. RNAcentral describes it as "partial 23S ribosomal RNA". It matches the Rfam family "Bacterial large subunit ribosomal RNA", at positions 50 to 305 of the family's 2925-position model. The record is from RNAcentral. Lineage: Bacteria; Pseudomonadati; Pseudomonadota; Gammaproteobacteria; Pseudomonadales; Pseudomonadaceae.
UGAAAGACGUGGUAGCCUGCGAAAAGCUUCGGGGAGUCGGCAAACAGACUGUGAUCCGGAGAUGUCUGAAUGGGGGAACCCAGCCAUCAUAAGAUGGUUAUCUUGUACUGAAUACAUAGGUGCAAGAAGCGAACCAGGGGAACUGAAACAUCUAAGUACCCUGAGGAAAAGAAAUCAACCGAGAUUCCCUUAGUAGUGGCGAGCGAACGGGGACUAGCCCUUAAGCUUCUUUGAUUUUAGCGGAACGCUCUGGAA